AACGCAUAUUGCGCCCGCGUCUUCGGACAAGGGCAUGUCUGCCUCAGCGUCGGGUUAAUACUCGCAACUCAACACCCUGUGUGUUGAGCAUAGCGGACCUGGCUUUCCCGGUCUGAUUCGGUUCAGGCCGGGUUUGCUGAAGUAAAGAGGUUGACGCAUGGACCCGUUAUUGGGCCUCAGUUGGGUAGGCAAUUCGUUGCUAAAUGCUUUAACUGAUGGCUUGUGGACUGUGCAAUGUCAUCCCAAACCAGGAACCGAGCCCCGGCUUGGAUUAACCCUAUUUUCUCGACCUGAGCUCAGGCAAGAACACCCGCUGAACUUAA
Molecule: unclassified non-coding RNA, 323 nt
Filed under: uncultured soil eukaryote
Lineage: Eukaryota
Description: sequence contains 5.8S rRNA gene, ITS2, 28S rRNA gene
Source: RNAcentral